CAAUAGCGUAUAUUAAAGUUGUUGCAGUUAAAAAGCUCGUAGUUGGACUUCUGCGGGUGGCGGCCGGUCGUGCUCGAAACGGGCGUGAACUUGGCGUGCUGCCCGCAUCUUUGGGGAGAUUGUGCGUGGCAUUAAGUUGUCGUGCAUGGGAUUCUCAUCAUUUACUGUGAAAAAAUUAGAGUGUUUAAAGCAGGCCUUUGCCUUGAAUACAUUAGCAUGGAAUAAUAAGAUAGGACCGUUGUCUAUUUUGUUGGUUUACAGAUGUCGGUAAUGAUUAAUAGGGAUAGUUGGGGGUAUUCGUAUUCAGUUGUCAGAGGUGAAAUUCUUGGAUUUACGGAAGACGAACUACUGCGAAAGCAUUUACCAAGGAUGUUUUCAUUAA
This 382-nucleotide ribosomal RNA is filed under the name uncultured eukaryote. RNAcentral describes it as "partial 18S ribosomal RNA". It matches the Rfam family "Eukaryotic small subunit ribosomal RNA", at positions 592 to 976 of the family's 1831-position model. The record is from RNAcentral.